This is a small nucleolar RNA of Cynara cardunculus var. scolymus (artichoke), 87 nucleotides long. RefSeq annotates it as small nucleolar RNA snoR114. The record is from RefSeq and is a predicted model, not a curated record. The transcript has a single exon. NCBI's taxonomy places the organism in Eukaryota, Viridiplantae, Streptophyta, Magnoliopsida, Asterales, Asteraceae.
AAGCCGUGACGAUAUAUGCGCUCUAAGUGUAGGUUGGGUCCUUCACAUCCUUCUGAUUCAUCAGAUAGUCGUAGCGCUUCUGAGCUU